AGUGAACGCUGGCGGUAGGCCUAACACAUGCAAGUCGAACGGCAGCACAGUAAGAGCUUGCUCUUACGGGUGGCGAGUGGCGGACGGGUGAGGAAUACAUCGUAAUCUACUUUUUCGUGGGGGAUAACGUAGGGAAACUUACGCUAAUACCGCAUACGACCUACGGGUGAAAGCAGGGGAUCUUCGGACCUUGCGCGAUUGAAUGAGCCGAUGUCGGAUUAGCUAGUUGGCGGGGUAAAGGCCCACCAAGGCGACGAUCCGUAGCUGGUCUGAGAGGAUGAUCAGCCACACUGGAACUGAGACACGGUCCAGACUCCUACGGGAGGCAGCAGUGGGGAAUAUUGGACAAUGGGCGCAAGCCUGAUCCAACCAUACCGCGUGGGUGAAGAAGGCCUUCGGGUUGUAAAGCCCUUUUGUUGGGAAAGAAAAGCAGCAGGUUAAUACCCCGCUGUUCUGACGGUACCCAAAGAAUAAGCACCGGCUAACUUCGUG
This 492-nucleotide ribosomal RNA is filed under the name uncultured bacterium. Its description in RNAcentral is "partial 16S ribosomal RNA". It matches the Rfam family "Bacterial small subunit ribosomal RNA", at positions 29 to 507 of the family's 1533-position model. The record is from RNAcentral.